GUCCCUGUAGCGCCUUUGGAAGCGCGUUGGACUUCUAAUCCAAAGAUUGGGGUUCGAAUCCCACCAGGGAUA
Trichonephila clavipes is the source of this 72-nucleotide non-coding RNA. The record is from the annotation of a GenBank genome assembly. Lineage: Eukaryota; Metazoa; Arthropoda; Arachnida; Araneae; Nephilidae.